Molecule: ribosomal RNA, 803 nt
Filed under: uncultured bacterium
Lineage: Bacteria
Description: bacterial SSU rRNA
Rfam family: Bacterial small subunit ribosomal RNA
Source: RNAcentral
AGAGUUUGAUCCUGGCUCAGGAUGAACGCUGGCGGCGUGCUUAACACAUGCAAGUCGAACGGGAAUGCUUCGCUGAUGCGAUUUCGGUCAAAUCUUGAAGCAUUCUAGUGGCGGACGGGUGAGUAACGCGUGGGUAACCUGCCCUGUACAGGGGGACAACAGUUGGAAACGACUGCUAAUACCGCAUAAGCGCACAGCUUCGCAUGAAGCAGUGUGAAAAACUCCGGUGGUACAGGAUGGACCCGCGUCUGAUUAGAUAGUUGGUGAGGUAACGGCCCACCAAGUCAACGAUCAGUAGCCGGCCUGAGAGGGCGAACGGCCACAUUGGGACUGAGACACGGCCCAAACUCCUACGGGAGGCAGCAGUGGGGAAUAUUGCACAAUGGGGGAAACCCUGAUGCAGCGACGCCGCGUGAGUGAAGAAGUAUUUCGGUAUGUAAAGCUCUAUCAGCAGGGAAGAAAACAAUGACGGUACCUGACUAAGAAGCCCCGGCUAACUACGUGCCAGCAGCCGCGGUAAUACGUAGGGGGCAAGCGUUAUCCGGAUUUACUGGGUGUAAAGGGAGCGUAGACGGUAGACCAAGUCUGAAGUGAAAGCCCGGGGCUCAACCCCGGAACUGCUUUGGAAACUGGUAAACUAGAGUGCAGGAGAGGUAAGUGGAAUUCCUAGUGUAGCGGUGAAAUGCGUAGAUAUUAGGAGGAACACCAGUGGCGAAGGCGGCUUACUGGACUGUAACUGACGUUGAGGCUCGAAAGCGUGGGGAGCAAACAGGAUUAGAUACCCUGGUAGUCCACGCCGUAAA